RNAcentral lists this ribosomal RNA (18 nucleotides) under Paraphaeosphaeria sporulosa. Its description in RNAcentral is "partial 18S ribosomal RNA". Lineage: Eukaryota; Fungi; Ascomycota; Dothideomycetes; Pleosporales; Didymosphaeriaceae. The record is from RNAcentral.
ACCUGCGGAAGGAUAUUA